GACGAACGCUGGCGGCAUGCCUAACACAUGCAAGUCGAACGAGAACUUCGGGCCUAGUGGCGCACGGGUGCGUACCGCGUGGGAACUAGCCCUUAGGUUCGGAAUAACUCCCUGAAAGGGGUGCUCAUACCGGAUAAUGUCUUCGGACCAAAGAUUUAUCGCCUUGGGAUGGGCCCGCGUUAGUUUAGCUAGUUGGUAGGGUACAAGCCUACCAAGGCGAGGAUGCAUAGCUGGUCUGGGAGGAUGAUCAGCCACACUGGGACUGAGACACGGCCUAGACUCCGACGGGAGGCAGCAGUGUGGAAUAUUAGACGAGGGGCGAUAGUCUAGUCCAGCAAUGCGGCGUAAGUGAUGAAGGCCUUAGUGUUGUAAAGCUCUUUUAGCCGAGAUGUUAAUGACAGUACCGGGUGAAUAAGCUCCGGCUAACUCCGUG
Molecule: ribosomal RNA, 433 nt
Filed under: uncultured bacterium
Lineage: Bacteria
Description: partial 16S ribosomal RNA
Rfam family: Bacterial small subunit ribosomal RNA
Source: RNAcentral